CGGGGUCGGGCCGGGGUCUGCACCUGGGACAUCCCUGAGGAGGGAAGGGCCGGGAGCAGGAGCGCCCCAGCAUCGGGCGGGCGGGCGAGCGGCGCGGAGCCGGCCGGGGACGCGCGCCGAGGGAGCCCCGUCCCCGGUCGUGGGGGCACCGCCCGCAGGCUUUGCGGGGUGGGCAGCUCCCGGGCCUGCCAUGAGCUCUCCGCCGCCCGCCCGCAGUGGCUUUUACCGCCAGGAGGUGACCAAGACGGCCUGGGAGGUGCGCGCCGUGUACCGGGACCUGCAGCCCGUGGGCUCGGGCGCCUAUGGCGCGGUGUGGUGAGCGCGGGCCGGGCGGGGCGGGCGGGGCGGGCGGGGCGUGCGCGGGGUGCCCGGCCUUCCCGCUAAGCGGUCCGCUCCGCAGCUCGGCCGUGGACAGCCGCACCGGCGCUAAGGUAGCCAUCAAGAAGCUGUAUCGGCCCUUCCAGUCCGACCUGUUCGCCAAGCGCGCCUACCGCGAGCUGCGCCUGCUCAAGCACAUGCGCCACGAGAACGUGAUCGGGCUGCUGGACGUAUUCACUCCUGAUGAGACCCUGGAUGACUUCACGGACUUUUACCUGGUGAUGCCGUUCAUGGGCACCGACCUGGGCAAGCUCAUGAAACAUGAGAAGCUAGGCGAGGACCGGAUCCAGUUUCUCGUGUACCAGAUGCUGAAGGGGCUGAGGUAUAUCCACGCUGCUGGCAUCAUCCACAGAGUGAGUCCCGGUGGAGGAGCCGCCCAUCAGCCCUCCCCCAGUGCAAUCCCCCCGCCUCCACGUCCCACCUGUGAGGAUCUGAUGGGGUCUGGGGGCUGAGCCACGCCCCAUGCACAGCCCCUGGUGGGAGCCUGCCUGGGUGCCCAGGACCUGAAGCCCGGCAACCUGGCUGUGAACGAAGACUGUGAGCUGAAGAUCCUGGACUUCGGCCUGGCCAGGCAGGCAGACAGUGAGAUGACUGGGUACGUGGUGACCCGGUGGUACCGGGCUCCCGAGGUCAUCUUGAAUUGGAUGCGCUACACGCAGACGGUGGACAUCUGGUCUGUGGGCUGCAUCAUGGCAGAGAUGAUCACAGGCAAGACGCUGUUCAAGGGCAGCGACCACCUGGACCAGCUGAAGGAGAUCAUGAAGGUGACGGGGACGCCUCCGGCUGAGUUUGUGCAGCGGCUGCAGAGCGAUGAGGCCAAGAACUACAUGAAGGGCCUCCCCGAAUUGGAGAAGAAGGAUUUUGCCUCCAUCCUCACCAAUGCAAGCCCUCUGGCUGUGAACCUCCUGGAGAAGAUGCUGGUGCUGGAUGCGGAGCAGCGGGUGACAGCGGCCGAGGCGCUGGCCCAUCCCUACUUUGAGUCCCUGCACGACACGGAAGAUGAGCCCCAGGUCCAGAAGUAUGAUGACUCCUUUGACGACGUGGACCGCACACUGGAUGAAUGGAAGCGUGUUACUUACAAAGAGGUGCUCAGCUUCAAGCCUCCCCAGCAGCUGGGGGCCAGGGUCUCCAAGGAGACGGCUCUGUGAAGAUCUCUGGGCUCCAGGGUGGCAGUGAGGACCACCUUCACCUUCCUCCUGAGAGGGGACUCUCGUUGCCACCUUGACCUUGACUGGGGUUUGCAUCCCGAGGCAUCCAUCAGAGCAGAGCCCCGGGUUCCAUGGACCCUCCUCCCCACAGCCAUGACUCUGCUCUUGGGUGCCCAUCAUGGAGGAGCACCUGAACUUUCUGGACAGGACCUCUGGCUGACCUGGGGAUGGCCUCUGAUCCCUGGAGCAGUGGCCCACUUGCCUGGUGCCCUCAGAAACCUCAGAGCUGGUGGGGCUCCAUAUCAGGCCUUGGCCUCUGAGCCCUGCCUGCUCUGGGCCAUGCAGAGGAAUGACAGAGGGCGGGCACAGGGCACCAACUCAGGGACAUCCCCUCUCCUGGGCGACGUCAGUGGACCUUCCUGCACCCCUAGCCUGGAAUGUAAAUUAGCUGUGUGGUGCCCACGUGGCUGGAAGGAAAUAG
This 2007-nucleotide small RNA is filed under the name Pongo abelii (Sumatran orangutan). RNAcentral's name for it is "retained intron". The record is from RNAcentral. Lineage: Eukaryota; Metazoa; Chordata; Mammalia; Primates; Hominidae.